This 464-nucleotide ribosomal RNA is filed under the name uncultured bacterium. Its description in RNAcentral is "partial 16S ribosomal RNA". It matches the Rfam family "Bacterial small subunit ribosomal RNA", at positions 31 to 507 of the family's 1533-position model. The record is from RNAcentral.
GAACGCUGGCGGCGUGCUUAACACAUGCAAGUCGAACGGAAAGGCCUCAGCUUGCUGGGGUACUCGAGUGGCGAACGGGUGAGUAACACGUGGGUGAUCUGCCUUGCACUCUGGGAUAAGCUUGGGAAGCUGGGUCUAAUACCGGAUAUGAACUGCCUUUAGUGUGGUGGUUGGAAAGUUUUUUCGGUGCAAGAUGAGCUCGCGGCCUAUCAGCUUGUUGGUGGGGUAAUGGCCUACCAAGGCGUCGACGGGUAGCCGGCCUGAGAGGGUGUACGGCCACAUUGGGACUGAGAUACGGCCCAGACUCCUACGGGAGGCAGCAGUGGGGAAUAUUGCACAAUGGGCGGAAGCCUGAUGCAGCGACGCCGCGUGGGGGAUGACGGCCUUCGGGUUGUAAACUCCUUUCGACAGGGACGAAGCUUUUUGUGACGGUACCUGUAUAAGAAGCACCGGCUAACUACGUG